Molecule: non-coding RNA, 81 nt
Organism: Clostridiales bacterium 41_21_two_genomes
Lineage: Bacteria; Bacillati; Bacillota; Clostridia; Eubacteriales
Source: Rfam
UGAUAGCAAAGAAGCGCGAGGUUGCUGCCGAUAGGGCAGGUUUUCCGUGGAGCGAAUGUCAAGUCAAGAAACUGGCGACAA